Molecule: ribosomal RNA, 519 nt
Filed under: uncultured eukaryote
Lineage: Eukaryota
Description: SSU rRNA
Rfam family: Eukaryotic small subunit ribosomal RNA
Source: RNAcentral
AGGGCACCACCAGGAGUGGAGCCUGCGGCUUAAUUUGACUCAACACGGGAAAACUCACCCGGCCCGGACACUGGAAGGAUUGACAGAUUGAGAGCUCUUUCUUGAUUCAGUGGGUGGUGGUGCAUGGCCGUUCUUAGUUGGUGGAGUGAUUUGUCUGGUUAAUUCCGAUAACGAACGAGACUCUAGCCUACUAAAUAGAUCGUCGGCUUACAAACGCCGACGAGACCUCUUAGAGGGACAGGCGGUGAUUCAACCGCACGAAACAGAGCAAUAACAGGUCUGUGAUGCCCUUAGAUGUCCGGGGCCGCACGCGCGCUACACUGAAGUGAUCAGCGUGCUUUUGUCAACCUACUCUGUCAAGAGUGGGGAACCCAAUGAACCUUCUUCGUGAUUGGGAUAGGGGAUUGUAAUUAUUCCCCUUGAACGAGGAAUUCCCAGUAAGCGCGAGUCAUAAGCUCGCGUUGAUUACGUCCCUGCCCUUUGUACACACCGCCCGUCGCUACUACCGAUUGAAUGUUU